UACGGAGGAUCCAAGCGUUAUCCGGAAUUACUGGGCGUAAAGAGUUGCGUAGGUGGCAUAGUAAGUAGGGCGUGAAAGCGUGUGGCUCAACCAUAUACACAUGUCCUAAACUGCUAAGCUAGAAUAUAGAAGAGGUAGCUGGAAUUCCUAGUGUAGGAGUGAAAUCCGUAGAUAUUAGGAGGAACACCGAUGGCGUAGGCAGGCUACUGGUCUAUUAUUGACACUAAGGCACGAAAGCGUGGGGAGCAAACGGG
RNAcentral lists this ribosomal RNA (254 nucleotides) under uncultured bacterium. RNAcentral's name for it is "partial 16S ribosomal RNA". It matches the Rfam family "Bacterial small subunit ribosomal RNA", at positions 524 to 776 of the family's 1533-position model. The record is from RNAcentral.